AUUGAACGCUGGCGGCAUGCCUUACACAUGCAAGUCGAACGGUAACAGGUCUUCGGAUGCUGACGAGUGGCGAACGGGUGAGUAAUACAUCGGAACGUGCCCGAUCGUGGGGGAUAACGAGGCGAAAGCUUUGCUAAUACCGCAUACGAUCUACGGAUGAAAGCGGGGGAUCUUCGGACCUCGCGCGGACGGAGCGGCCGAUGGCAGAUUAGGUAGUUGGUGGGAUAAAAGCUUACCAAGCCGACGAUCUGUAGCUGGUCUGAGAGGAUGAUCAGCCACACUGGGACUGAGACACGGCCCAGACUCCUACGGGAGGCAGCAGUGGGGAAUGUUGGACAAUGGGCGAAAGCCUGAUCCAGCCAUGCCGCGUGCAGGAUGAAGGCCUUCGGGUUGUAAACUGCUUUUGUACGGAACGAAAAGCCUCUUUCUAAUAAAGAGGGGUCAUGACGGUACCGUAAGAAUAAGCACCGGCUAACUACGUG
Molecule: ribosomal RNA, 482 nt
Filed under: uncultured bacterium
Lineage: Bacteria
Description: partial 16S ribosomal RNA
Rfam family: Bacterial small subunit ribosomal RNA
Source: RNAcentral